Molecule: long non-coding RNA, 1721 nt
Filed under: Oncorhynchus mykiss (rainbow trout)
Lineage: Eukaryota; Metazoa; Chordata; Actinopteri; Salmoniformes; Salmonidae
Description: lncRNA (ENSOMYG00000059940.1)
Source: RNAcentral
AUGGGUUAGGGGUAUGGGUUAGGGGUAUGGGUUAGGGGUAUGGGUUAGGGGUUAGGGGUUAGGGUUAGGGGUUAGGGGUUAGGGGUAUGGGUUAGGGGUAUGGGUUAGGGGUUAGGGGUAUGGGUUAGGGGUUAGGGGUUAGGGUUAGGGGUAUGGGUUAGGGGUUAGGGUUAGGGGUUAGGGGUUAGGGUUAGGGGUUAGGGGUUAGGGGAAAAUAGAAUGUGUGUGUCUCAUCUUUCCUGUAUUCUCUCCAGAUCAAUGAGAGCAGACAGGACUGGCGUCUGCAAGGCUUGGUUAGUGGCUGUGGCUUCUACGGCCCUCCUGUGGUGUACAUACGGGCCGGGGAGAAGACCUGUUACCCCCUUACCUUUAGACCCACCACACAGAGCAUCGUCACGGGCAGGCUGUCCUUGCUGAAUGACACAGAUGGGACGGAGCACAGCUUCACCCUGAGAGGGGUGGGGGAGCGGUCCCUACCCCUGGACCACGUGGUGAUACACUGCUCUGUCAGACAGGUCACACACAGCACCCUGCAGGUCCCCAACUACAGCCAGCACCCCCUCACCUGUCAGGUAGAUACACUAUUACUAUAGUACUACUACACAUAGCACCCUGCAGGUCCCCAACUACAGCCAGCACCCCCUCACCUGUCAGGUAGAUACACUAUUACUAUAGUACUACUACACACAGCACCCUGCAGGUCCCCAACUACAGCCAGCACCCCCUCACCUGUCAGGUAGAUACACUAUUACUAUAGUACUACUACACAUAGCACCCUGCAGGUCCCCAACUACAGCCAGCACCCCCUCACCUGUCAGGUAGAUACACUAUUACUAUAGUACUACUACACACAGCACCCUGCAGGUCCCCAACUACAGCCAGCACCCCCUCACCUGUCAGGUAGAUACACUAUUACUAUAGUACUACUACACACAGCACCCUGCAGGUCCCCAACUACAGCCAGCACCCCCUCACCUGUCAGGUAGAUACACUAUUACUAUAGUACUACUACACAUAGCACCCUGCAGGUCCCCAACUACAGCCAGCACCCCCUCACCUGUCAGGUAGAUACACUAUUACUAUAGUACUACUACACACAGCACCCUGCAGGUCCCCAACUACAGCCAGCACCCCCUCACCUGUCACGUAGAUACACUAUUACUAUAGUACUACUACACACAGCACCCUGCAGGUCCCCAACUACAGCCAGCACCCCCUCACCUGUCAGGUAGAUACACUAUUACUAUAGUACUACUACACACAGCACCCUGCAGGUCCCCAACUACAGCCAGCACCCCCUCACCUGUCAGGUAGAUACACUAUUACUAUAGUACUACUACACACAGCACCCUGCAGGUCCCCAACUACAGCCAGCACCCCCUCACCUGUCAGGUAGAUACACUAUUACUAUAGUACUACUACACACAGCACCCUGCAGGUCCCCAACUACAGCCAGCACCCCCUCACCUGUCACGUAGAUACACUAUUACUAUAGUACUACUACACACAGCACCCUGCAGGUCCCCAACUACAGCCAGCACCCCCUCACCUGUCAGGUAGAUACACUAUUACUAUAGUACUACUACACACAGCACCCUGCAGGUCCCCAACUACAGCCAGCACCCCCUCACCUGUCAGGUAGAUACACUAUUACUAUAGUACUACUACACACAACACCCUGCAGGUCCCCAACUACAGCCACACACACAGUUGCUGAUUGU